This 448-nucleotide ribosomal RNA is filed under the name uncultured bacterium. Its description in RNAcentral is "bacterial SSU rRNA". It matches the Rfam family "Bacterial small subunit ribosomal RNA", at positions 330 to 793 of the family's 1533-position model. The record is from RNAcentral.
GCCAGACUCCUACGGGAGGCAGCAGUGGGGAAUAUUGCACAAUGGGGGAAACCCUGAUGCAGCAACGCCGCGUGAGUGAAGAAGUAUUUCGGUAUGUAAAGCUCUCUCAGCAGGGAAGAAGAGAGACGGUACCUGACUAAGAAGCCCCGGCUAACUACGUGCCAGCAGCCGCGGUAAUACGUAGGGGGCGAGCGUUAUCCGGAUUUACUGGGUGUAAAGGGAGCGUAGACGGUUUUUCAAGUCUGAAGUGAAAGCCCGCGGCUCAACUGCGGAACGGCUUUGGAAACUGAGUAACUGGAGUGCUGGAGGGGCAGGCGGAAUUCCUGGUGUAGCGGUGAGAUGCGUAGAUAUCAGGAGGAACACCGGUGGCGAAGGCGGCCUGCUGGACAGUAACUGACGUUGAGGCUCGAAAGCGUGGGGAGCAAACAGGAUUAGAUACCCCUGUAUG